UCGGCCCUAGCCUCCUCUACCCUGCGCGCCGUGCCCGCCCCGCCCCGCCCCGCCCGACGGCCGUGACUCAGCAGGAAGGCGUGACCGGACCCGGCCGGAAGGGCUGAGAUAUGAUUUGAACACCUUCUGUGCGUGAGUUCCUACGCACAAAGUUGGGCCCAACAGACCCAGACCCAAUCCUCAAAGGCCCCCCGGGCUAGUGGAAGAUACCGUGAAGUCAGCAGUCUGCUGAGAUGCAGGGUCCUCCUCCCACCAGUGACACAGUGGGUCUCAGAGAGCUCUGACAAAUGGAGACAAAGCCAUUACUGCCAAGAGCUGAUGGAGUUUGGAGCUAAAGUGUCUGCCUCACUCCUUGGCUGGGAGCCAGGAC
Equus quagga is the source of this 370-nucleotide long non-coding RNA. RefSeq lists it as uncharacterized. The record is from RefSeq and is a predicted model, not a curated record. NCBI's taxonomy places the organism in Eukaryota, Metazoa, Chordata, Mammalia, Perissodactyla, Equidae. The transcript is spliced from 3 exons.